AACGCGAAGAACCUUACCAGGUCUUGACAUCCGAUGCAUAUCACAGAGAUGUGAGAAGUCCUUCGGGACAUCGAGACAGGUGCUGCAUGGUUGUCGUCAGCUCGUGUCGUGAGAUGUUGGGUUAAGUCCCGCAACGAGCGCAACCCUUAUUGCCAGUUACUACGCAAGAGGACUCUGGCGAGACUGCCGUUGACAAAACGGAGGAAGGUGGGGAUGACGUCAAAUCAUCAUGCCCUUUAUGACCUGGGCUACACACGUACUACAAUGGCGUUUAACAAAGAGAAGCGAUACCGCGAGGUGGAGCAAAACUCAAAAACAACGUCUCAGUUCAGAUUGCAGGCUGCAACUCGCCUGCAUGAAGUCGGAAUUGCUAGUAAUCGCGGAUCAGCAUGCCGCGGUGAAUACGUUCCCGGGUCUUGUACACACCG
Molecule: ribosomal RNA, 428 nt
Filed under: uncultured bacterium
Lineage: Bacteria
Description: bacterial SSU rRNA
Rfam family: Bacterial small subunit ribosomal RNA
Source: RNAcentral